GAUGAACGCUAGCUACAGGCUUAACACAUGCAAGUCGAGGGGAAACGAUAUUGGAAGCUUGCUUCCGAUAGGCGUCGACCGGCGCACGGGUGAGUAACGCGUAUCCAACCUGCCCAUCACUUGGGGAUAACCUUGCGAAAGUAAGACUAAUACCCAAUGACGUCUCUAGAAGACAUCUGAAAGAGAUUAAAGAUUUAUCGGUGAUGGAUGGGGAUGCGUCUGAUUAGCUUGUUGGCGGGGUAACGGCCCACCAAGGCGACGAUCAGUAGGGGUUCUGAGAGGAAGGUCCCCCACAUUGGAACUGAGACACGGUCCAAACUCCUACGGGAGGCAGCAGUGAGGAAUAUUGGUCAAUGGGCGAGAGCCUGAACCAGCCAAGUAGCGUGCAGGAUGACGGCCCUAUGGGUUGUAAACUGCUUUUAUAAGGGAAUAAAGUGGGAGUCGUGACUCCUUUUGCAUGUACCUUAUGAAUAAGGACCGGCUAAUUCCGUGCCAGCCGCCGCCGUAA
Molecule: ribosomal RNA, 508 nt
Filed under: uncultured bacterium
Lineage: Bacteria
Description: partial 16S ribosomal RNA
Rfam family: Bacterial small subunit ribosomal RNA
Source: RNAcentral